This 97-nucleotide ribosomal RNA is filed under the name uncultured bacterium. Its description in RNAcentral is "partial 16S ribosomal RNA". It matches the Rfam family "Bacterial small subunit ribosomal RNA", at positions 1386 to 1482 of the family's 1533-position model. The record is from RNAcentral.
CACACCGCCCGUCACAUCACGAAAGCCAGUUGUGCUAGAAGCCGGUGACUUAACCGCAAGGAAAUAGCCGUCCAAGGUAUGACUGGUGAUUGGGGUG